RNAcentral lists this ribosomal RNA (225 nucleotides) under uncultured bacterium. RNAcentral describes it as "partial 16S ribosomal RNA". It matches the Rfam family "Bacterial small subunit ribosomal RNA", at positions 326 to 539 of the family's 1533-position model. The record is from RNAcentral.
ACGCUCGACACCUACGGAAGGCAGCAGUGGGGAAUAUUGGACAAUGGGGGGAACCCUGAUCCAGCCAUGCCGCGUGUGUGAAGAAGGCCUUAUGGUUGUAAAGCACUUUAAGCGAGGAGGAGGCUACUGAGACUAAUACUCUUGGAUAGUGGACGUUACUCGCAGAAUAAGCACCGGCUAACUCUGUGCCAGCAGCCGCGGUAAUCUGAGGCGGGCUGGCAAGGC